Molecule: ribosomal RNA, 496 nt
Filed under: uncultured bacterium
Lineage: Bacteria
Description: partial 16S ribosomal RNA
Rfam family: Bacterial small subunit ribosomal RNA
Source: RNAcentral
AUGAACGCUGGCGGCGUGCCUAAUACAUGCAAGUCGAGCGAACGGACGAGAAGCUUGCUUCUCUGAUGUUAGCGGCGGACGGGUGAGUAACACGUGGAUAACCUACCUAUAAGACUGGGAUAACUUCGGGAAACCGGAGCUAAUACCGGAUAAUAUUUUGAACCGCAUGGUUCAAAAGUGAAAGACGGUCUUGCUGUCACUUAUAGAUGGAUCCGCGCUGCAUUAGCUAGUUGGUAAGGUAACGGCUUACCGAGGCAACGAUGCAUAGCCGACCUGAGAGGGUGAUCGGCCACACUGGAACUGAGACACGGUCCAGACUCCUACGGGAGGCAGCAGUAGGGAAUCUUCCGCAAUGGGCGAAAGCCUGACGGAGCAACGCCGCGUGAGUGAUGAAGGUCUUCGGAUCGUAAAACUCUGUUAUUAGGGAAGAACAUAUGUGUAAGUAACUGUGCACAUCUUGACGGUACCUAAUCAGAAAGCCACGGCUAACUACGUG